Long non-coding RNA from Aotus nancymaae (Ma's night monkey), 2383 nucleotides. The record is from Ensembl. Lineage: Eukaryota; Metazoa; Chordata; Mammalia; Primates; Aotidae.
CUGCAGGCUUGAAGAGAGAGGGCAGGAAAUUGUUCAAGUGUUGCUUCUAUGAGGAUGAGAAACUGCCGGCCCAGACUGACCAUGGUAUGCUUUUGUUUGUUACAGGACAUUCAUCCGUUCUACGCCGAUUUGAUGAAUAUUCUGUACGGCAAAGAUCACUACAAGUUGGCUCUGGGGCAAAUAAAUAUUGCCAAAAAUUUAGUGGCCAAUGUUGCUAAAGAUUACGUGCGGUUGAUGAAGUACGGUGACUCUCUGUACCGCUGCAAGCAGCUGAAGCGUGUGGCCCUGGGGCGGAUGUGCACCGUGAUCAAGAGGCAGAGGCAGAGUCUGGAGUAUUUGGAGCAAGGUGCUUGUCACGCAUGCGCAGGAACCGUGUUAGUGUCCUGCUGACAGGAUGCGUCCUUGUUGGGGAGUUACUCUUGAGAUGUCUGUUUUGUCAUAGUUUGGAGAUGACAUGGUCAGUUAUUUCUCCUAGCUUUACCUGUGAGAAACAGUGCUAUAGGCUUGUUUUUAUUGAAAAAGUGCUAGCACUUACAAUACGUACAAAUUAAUAGCACCCAUAAGAAAGUUUAUGUAUUUCAUAUUUAAUAGGUAAGGGAUAGACAAAUCAUGAGAAAAUGAUGAAAAGUGUAAAACAUAAGAUGGCUUAGAAACAAUAAAACAAGCAAAAAUAAGAUGGCUUGUAGUUUAUUGUUGACACUUUUAUUUCAGAAGAUACUUUUAUUCAGUAGGACUUCUCUGAAUUACUCUAGUAGGGUUCUAUUGAAAGCACCACUUGCCUGCUUAUUUGCGUGUCUUCUUACAUGACAAAUCAUUUGGACUCAUUUGGUUUUGUUCUCCCUCCUGCAUCUUGCAAGUAAUUUUUAACAAAAUAUGAUAUUUGGAUGCUUUGCAGGUGCUUUCCUACAGAUCUCUGUGGCCUUCAUGAUGGUCCAGGGGUGUCACCUUGGAGCUGUGUUUGUUACAGAUGAGGUGGCUGAAUGGCAGUAACCCAUGCUUCAGCCAGAACGUCAUGGCAUGCAGGCUUCAAAAUACACUGUUUCCCUAAUGUCGUCUUGCUGAUGAGAAUCGUCUGGACACUUCCAGACAUGCGGUUGGACACCUUUGGCCUAAUGAGUUAAAAUAUGGGCUUGGAAGGGCUGCGGACCAGGAUUCUUAGUACAGCCAAACUUGGGAAAUAACUAUUGAAUGUACUGUGUAUGUAUUAUACCGUCUGCAACUAUUUUCUCCAUCACUGUUGCGUUAUAGAAAUUGGAGUAAGAUUAAUAUCACCACAGGCCUUGACUGGAACUAAAUUGAAAAGAAAAUUUAAAGCAAAUCUUAAACUUUCGGUGUCUUAAUUUUUCCAUUUGAACUCUUUCAUAGUACGUCAGCAUUGAUCCCGUUUGCCAACCAUUGAUCCGAAUACCAGGACUCUGCUUUUGUGUGGGUACCCAAAUGUUGGCAAGUCCAGCUUCAUCAAUAAGGUUGGUCUGCUUUUUAUUGUAAAGCAAAUCCUCUGGCCAUUUUACAUCAUUGCUACUAUAUUCUGACUGCGUGGGAUUCAGAAUGGCCUUGGUCAUAAUUUUGGCCUCCGAGUUGGUCCUUUAGUAAAUACUCCCCUGGUCUGCAGGAGGCCCCAGUGCCUGAGUACAUCUGAGUUCCCUUGGAGAGGAUUGUCUUUGUCUGUAUCUAGAUUUAUGUUACGAUUACAGAAACCAUUGCUUUUGGUUCUUGCGUGCCCUAUAAUUUCUAAGGAAUUUGAGAUGUGUAAGUGCAUUUUUGUUGACAACUGGAGAGUUUUUGUGGGUGUUGUUGACCUGCCCUGGAAUGGCGACGUCAGAUGGGCUCCAGCGGCAGAGGACACUCCGAGCUGGGGUCUGCCCAUCUGCAGCUGCCUCUGGGUGAUCUUGACACACCUUGGUUGCUGUGUCAACUUUCACGUGAAAUAGUAUGUGGUCCAGCAGAGGGGCAAGGUGCCUUGUCUCUUUUUCCUUGGGUGUACUCACUGACUAGGAUUCAAGUGUCACAUUUAAGGGACUCAGUCAUUUAGUGCUUCAGGACAAUUUGGCUGAGUUUGAGGGACCCAGGAAGAGGCAAAGCAACUUUAAAAUGUGAAUUUACAACCAGCCACAGCUCAUGUGCCAAGAAAAUUGUCAAAUUUUAUGGCCUACUCAGUGCCAAGAUCCCUAUAUUUUUAAUUAAAAAAAAAUUUUAUCUUUUUUUUUUUGGAGACGGAGUUUCGCUCUUGUCACCCAGGCUGGAGUGCAAUGGCACGAUCUCGGCUCACUGCAACCUCCACCUCCUGGGUUCAGGCAAUUCUCCUGCGUCAGCCUCCUGAGUAGCUGGGAUUACAGGCACACGCCACCAUGCCCAGCUAAUUUUUUGUAUUUUUAGUAGAGAU